CCUACGGGAGGCUGCAGUGAGGAAUAUUGGUCAAUGGCCGGAAGGCUGAACCAGCCAAGUAGCGUGAGGGAAGACUGCCCUAUGGGUUGUAAACCUCUUUUAUGCGGGGAUAAAGGUGUCCACGUGUGGAUGUUUGCAGGUACCGCAUGAAUAAGGACCGGCUAAUUCCGUGCCAGCAGCCGCGGUAAUACGGAAGGUCCGGGCGUUAACCGGAUUUAUUGGGGUUAAAGGGUGCGCAGGCGGGAGGUAAAGGCAGCGGUAAAAUGUCGGGGCUCAACCCCGGCCGGCCGUUGAAACUGGUUUUCUAGAGUUGGCGAGAAGUAUGCGGAAUUCGUGGUGUAGCGGUGAAAUGCAUAGAUAUCACGAAGAACUCCGAUUGCGAAGGCAGCAUACCGGCUCCAUACUGACGCUGAGGCACGAAAGCGUGGGGAUCGAACAGGAUUAGAUACCCGUGUAGUC
Molecule: ribosomal RNA, 459 nt
Filed under: uncultured bacterium
Lineage: Bacteria
Description: partial 16S ribosomal RNA
Rfam family: Bacterial small subunit ribosomal RNA
Source: RNAcentral